RNAcentral lists this non-coding RNA (730 nucleotides) under Anaplecta calosoma. The record is from RNAcentral. Lineage: Eukaryota; Metazoa; Arthropoda; Insecta; Blattodea; Anaplectidae.
GAAAAGUUUGAUUCUUGCUUGUUUGUUAAUUUUUAAUACAUUUUAUAUGUGUUGUUUUCUUGAUGGUUAAUUUUGCAAUAUUUAGAAUUGAAUAUCAAGGAGAUUUGGAUUUGGUGUUAUUUUAUUGUGUCGGUUAAUUUUGUGCCGGCUUUAUACAUUUGAUGCUUAUUAACAUUUUCAUUUUUGCAGUUGUUUAUUUUUUAUAAAGUUUUUUGUUUUUAGGUGGAAUUUUAAUUUUUUUUAAAGUUUAUGUAGGCUGUGAAGUCCUUUUAUUUAAACUAGGAUUAGAUACCCUAUUAUUGAGGAUGUAAAGUUUUUUUGAGUAGUAUUAGUUAAUUUCUUGAAACUUAAAGAAUUUGGCGGUAUUUUGUUCCUUUCAGAGGAAUCUGUCUUGUAAUCGAUAGUCCGCGUUGAACCUUACUCCUCUUUCUUUUUGUAUACCUCCGUUAUAGGAGAAUUUUUUUAGGAUUUUAAUUUUCAUUAGAUUUUUUAUGUAUAUUAUUUCAGGUCAAGGUGCAGAUUUUAUGGGAGUUUUGAUGGAUUACAUUGUUUUUUAUUUUUAUUUGGGUUUUUAUUGUAAAGUGUUUAUUAAAAUGGAUUUGGUUGUAACUUUAUGUAGUUUGUUGUUGUGAAAUGGAUCUAUAAUAUGUACACAUCGCCCGUCACUCUCGUUAUUUUAUGAGAAAAGUCGUAACAUAGUGGUCGUACCGGAAGGUGUGGCUGGUAAGGU